Molecule: ribosomal RNA, 1209 nt
Filed under: Triticum aestivum (bread wheat)
Lineage: Eukaryota; Viridiplantae; Streptophyta; Magnoliopsida; Poales; Poaceae
Description: partial small subunit ribosomal RNA
Source: RNAcentral
AUGGAAGCUCUCCUCGGUUUAAUUUUGCGCAAGAACUGUGAAUGUGUUAUACACGCCUUCUUUUCUUCAGCGUGCCAUUCAGAAACCACUUUCAAAAGUAUUUAUUUCCAAAUUCCAAAGGUUUUCUGCAAGCCCACUUUACUAUCAACUGCUUUGGUAUUUCACUUCACCGCCUCUCCGGCGACAGAGCAGGCAGUAGACGGUGCCGGCGACGAAAAAGCUCACGAACCAGGCAUUGUUGUAGGCUGCUACGAGUGCACCGGAGACACUCGGCAGAACGCCAACCUUGUGAAGAAACCCCGGCACGAUCGGGGCAACUCCGGCCGCCAUCGCCACCAUGGCGGCAACGUUGAAACCACCCUGGAAGUAGUAGGGGCUCUCCCUCUCCUCCGAGUAGAGCGCGUCGACGUCCAAGGCGGUGCGCCUCACAAUGUAGUGGUCGGCGAGGAUGACCCCUCCGAUGGGGCCCAUGAGCGCCGAGUAGCCGAGCAGCCAGGUGUAGACGAAGCUCUCGCUGGAGCUGAGCAGCCGCCACGGCUGGCAGGCGAUGCCGAGCAACGCGGUGAUGAGCGCCCCCUGCGAGAACGUGAACCUCCGGGGGCUCAUGCUGACGAACGCGUUCGCCGGCGCCACCACGUUGGCGGCGAUGUUGGUCGUGAUGGUCGCGAGGCUGAUGCCGAAGAUGGCGAGGACCGUCGUCGCUGGCCCGCCGAUGCGCCCGAGGAGCUCGAUUGGGUCGGAGAUGAUGUGGCCGAAUAUGGCCUCCGUGGAGGAGGUCACGGCGAGCCCCGCGAAGGUGAACAUGCCCAUGAACACCGGCAGCCCGGCCUGGCCGAGCACCUGGUCCGCUUGGCUGCGCGCGUACCGCGCGAAGUCCGGUAUGUUGAUGGCCACCGUGGCCCAGAAGCCGAUGUUCGCCGUGAGCGCCGGGAAGAACACCUUCCAGAACUCGGCCCCUGUCAGUCUGGGAGGCAGCGAGAGGAUGCGCCCGAAGCCGCCGGCGGACACGUAUGCCCAGGUGAGCAGCGCGGAGGUGAGCACGAUGAGCACCGGCGCCGAGUACCUCUCGAGCUUCCGGAUGCCCUCCAUGCCGUUCAUGAUGACGCCGAGCUGCGCGGCCCAGAAGGCCAGGAAGCACGCGAACUCGAGCGGCGCCGCGCCGAGGCCGGGCACCGGCGUGAGCAGCGGCUGGUACGUCUUGAGAGCUGA